AGAGUUUGAUCCUGGCUCAGGAUGAACGCUGGCGGCGUGCUUAACACAUGCAAGUCGAACGAAGCGAUUUAGCGGAAGUUUUCGGAUGGAAGCUAGAUUGACUGAGUGGCGGACGGGUGAGUAACGCGUGGGUAACCUGCCUCACACUGGGGGACAACAGUUAGAAAUGACUGCUAAUACCGCAUAAGCGCACAGGACCGCAUGGUCUAGUGUGAAAAACUCCGGUGGUGUGAGAUGGACCCGCGUUUGAUUAGCUAGUUGGUGGGGUAACGGCCUACCAAGGCGACGAUCAAUAGCCGACCUGAGAGGGUGAUCGGCCACAUUGGAACUGAGACACGGUCCAGACUCCUACGGGAGGCAGCAGUGGGGAAUAUUGCACAAUGGGGGAAACCCUGAUGCAGCAAUGCCGCGUGAGUGAUGAAGGUCUUCGGAUUGUAAAGCUCUGUCUUUAGGGACGAUAAUGACGGUACCUAAGGAGGAAGCCACGGCUAACUACGUGCCAGCAGCCGCGGUAAUACGUAGGUGGCAAGCGUUAUCCGGAUUUACUGGGCGUAAAGGGAGCGUAGGCGGAUAUUUAAGUGGGAUGUGAAAUACCCGAGCUUAACUUGGGAGCUGCAUUCCAAACUGGAUAUCUAGAGUGCAGGAGAGGAGAAUGGAAUUCCUAGUGUAGCGGUGAAAUGCGUAGAGAUUAGGAAGAACACCAGUGGCGAAGGCGAUUCUCUGGACUGUAACUGACGCUGAGGCUCGAAAGCGUGGGGAGCAAACAGGAUUAGAUACCCUGGUAGUCCAUGCCGUAAACGAUGAAUACUAGGUGUAGGGGCCCCAAGCCUCUGUGCCGCCGCUAACGCAUUAAGUAUUCCGCCUGGGGAGUACGGUCGCAAGAUUAAAACUCAAAGGAAUUGACGGGGACCCGCACAAGCAGCGGAGCAUGUGGUUUAAUUCGAAGCAACGCGAAGAACCUUACCUAGACUUGACAUGUCCUGAAUUACCAGUAAUGUGGGAAGUUCCUUCGGGAACAGGAACACAGGUGGUGCAUGGUUGUCGUCAGCUCGUGUCGUGAGAUGUUGGGUUAAGUCCCGCAACGAGCGCAACCCUUAUUGUUAGUUGGUACCAUUAAGUUGACCACUCUAGCGAGACUGCCCGGGUUAACCGGGAGGAAGGUGGGGAUGACGUCAAAUCAUCAUGCCCCUUAUGUCUAGGGCUACACACGUGCUACAAUGGCAAGUACAAAGAGAAGCAAUACUGUGAAGUGGAGCAAAACUCAAAAACUUGUCUCAGUUCGGAUUGUAGGCUGAAACUCGCCUACAUGAAGCUGGAGUUGCUAGUAAUCAAGAAUCAGAAUGUCGCGGUGAAUACGUUCCCGG
Molecule: ribosomal RNA, 1364 nt
Filed under: uncultured bacterium
Lineage: Bacteria
Description: 16S ribosomal RNA
Rfam family: Bacterial small subunit ribosomal RNA
Source: RNAcentral